RNAcentral lists this long non-coding RNA (1367 nucleotides) under Brassica napus (rape). Its description in RNAcentral is "long non-coding RNA (BNAP_LNC016425)". The record is from RNAcentral. Lineage: Eukaryota; Viridiplantae; Streptophyta; Magnoliopsida; Brassicales; Brassicaceae.
UGGGAUCGGCGGUGAACUGGUCGAUCUCGGCUCUAGACGUGGUGGUGGCGGUGGUACGAUCUCAGGUGUGAGUGACGGCUCAGUCUUUGUAGAGUUACAACGCUUAGGGUUUCUGAAGAAUAAAUAAUGGGGAAUAAUGGUUUAUAUAUGGGACUCACCAAGGGCUUCCUACAACACUGACGGGCUCUGACGGGCCGAAAUCACUGGGCUGGGAAUUGGGUCGUUACAAUUCUCCUCCACUAAUAAGGAAUUCGACCCCGAAUUCGGCUCCUGAACCGACUGUCCAAUACCAUCCUCAAAAAGCUCUGGAUAGUCAAUCCUCAAGUGAUUUUCGGUCUCCCAGGUCUCCUCCUGGACAGACUCCAAAACGGAAAUCAGGGCGAAAAAUCGAGUCAGAACGUCCUUCGAACGGUUAAAAACGGAUAACCGGCGAUCUGGUCACAAGUCAACCCGCUGGUCAAAGGUCAACCCGGUCAACUCUGACCCAAGCCGGUCAACCCUUGACCAAAUUGAAAUCGAAUUGAACCAAAUCGGUUUUCCAUAACCGAAUUUAAAUCAAUUUUAACUACCGGUUUAACUUAACCAAUUUAAUUAAUUUAAACCAGAAAGCGAUUUAAUAAAUAACCGGUUAACCUAAACCGAACCAAAAUCGAUUAACCCAACCGGUUGACCGGAUCCGGGUUGACUCGCCUAGUCCACUCGGUCGAGUUGCCGAGUCACCAGCGGCGGAAAAAGGACGGCGGCUUACCAGAAUCAACGGCGGCGACGGAACACGGUGCGUGGUGGUGGCGCGUGAGAAAAGCCCCGCUUGACCGCGCGUCCGGGCGACUUUCCGGCUGAUAUUCUUGGUCCCGACUCGUCUCGACAUCACGAUCACGAUGGUGGUCUUAGAAUUACGAAAUUCCAAAUGGUUAGUGAGUUAUGAUCGAUUGAAUAAACGACCGUUUUUAAAACCAAAUCGGAAAGAUGAUUUCCGGUUACCUUCGUCUGGGAUCGGCGGUGAACUGGUCGAUCUCGGCUCUAGACGUGGUGGUGGCGGUGGUACGAUCUCAGGUGUGAGUGACGGCUCAGUCUUUGUAGAGUUACAACGCUUAGGGUUUCUGAAGAAUAAAUAAUGAGGAAUAAUAGUUUAUAUAUGGGACUCACCAAGGGCUUCCUGCAACACUGACGGGCUCUGACGGGCCGAAGUCACUGUGCUGGGAAUUGGGUCGUUACAAUUCUCCCCCACUAAUAAGGAAUUCGACACCGAAUUCAGCUCCUGAACCGACUGUCCAAUACCAUCCUCAAAAAGCUCUGGAUAGUCAAUCCUCAAGUGAUUUUCGGUCUCCCAGGUCUCCUCCUGGAUCCCGUCUCUCUCCCAACGGACU